Molecule: small RNA, 783 nt
Filed under: Histoplasma capsulatum var. duboisii H88
Lineage: Eukaryota; Fungi; Ascomycota; Eurotiomycetes; Onygenales; Ajellomycetaceae
Description: Histoplasma capsulatum H88 hypothetical RNA
Source: RNAcentral
AACUUCCCCCUCAUCCAUCUCUCGCCCAGGUUCCCGUGGAUGGUCACACCUCGCAACUGAUCACAGACACCAGGUCACUCGCCCAGUCCUCGCUCCACGCUGCGCAUCUCGGUCCGUCAGCUGCUGUGGUCAAGCGAACCCGCUUCUGGCCCAAUUGACUUCGCCCAUUGGCCACCCACACCUCCUCCUUUACCUCCUAACCUACCGCUUCCUUGAUCAAUCAAUAAUCUUCAUGAACAAAUAAAUACAUUUCAACAACAACAACAACAAACCCACGACGCUGUUGCAAGAUGAAUCUAACUGUGGGGAAAUUCUUUUUUCUUGUCCGUUGCAAUUGCACGCGUUCUGCGGCAAUAAAAAUGACUGCAUCUUGAAUGGCCAAGGGAGCCCGUCAACGGGCACUAAUUAUAGUGUCAUUUGCCAUUCGCCAUUGACUCGUUACCUUAUCUCUCAGCGAGCUGUAAAUAUCGGAGCAGACAUAUACAUAUAUAUAUAUAUAAAUAUAAUAUCAGCCAAUCGCCGAGGAAGAAGAGAAAGGUCAAAAAAUCAAGAUACAAUUGCACUGCACUGCACUGCAUUUUGAAUGAACUUUUGUGGAAAACUUAACUUCGCUGCUGUAAAGGCUAGCAAUCAAUAUAUACAUCAUCGAUAGCUUUACUCCCGUAUAUCAUUCGUCAAUCCGCUUCUAAGGCAAAUUGACAAACAAAUUUAUAUCAAUCAUAAGGUGUUUUGGUCUAAUUGAGUUAUACUGAAUGGGAUUUCCUUCCAGUAUCGUCUAUCCCC